GAGGCGCUAGUAAAGGGAAUUACCCUGCCUUGUCAAGGCAGAAUCGUGGGCUCAAACCCCACGCGCCUUA
Molecule: transfer RNA, 70 nt
Filed under: Chirocentrus dorab (Dorab wolf-herring)
Lineage: Eukaryota; Metazoa; Chordata; Actinopteri; Clupeiformes; Chirocentridae
Description: tRNA-Asp
Rfam family: tRNA
About the family: Transfer RNA (tRNA) molecules are approximately 80 nucleotides in length. Their secondary structure includes four short double-helical elements and three loops (D, anti-codon, and T loops).
Source: RNAcentral